AUUGAACGCUGGCGGCAGGCUUAACACAUGCAAGUCGAGCGGGGUGAUGGUGCUUGCACUAUCACUUAGCGGCGGACGGGUGAGUGAUGCUUAGGAAUCUGCCUAUUAGUGGGGGACAACAUCUCGAAAGGGAUGCUAAUACCGCAUACGUCCUACGGGAGAAAGCAGGGGAUCACUUGUGACCUUGCGCUAAUAGAUGAGCCUAAGUCGGAUUAGCUAGUUGGUGGGGUAAAGGCCUACCAAGGCGACGAUCUGUAGCGGGUCUGAGAGGAUGAUCCGCCACACUGGGACUGAGACACGGCCCAGACUCCUACGGGGGGCAGCAGGGGGGAAUAUUGGACAAUGGGGGGAACCCUGAUCCAGCCAUGCCGCGUGUGUGAAGAAGGCCUUAUGGUUGUAAAGCACUUUAAGCGAGGAGGAGGCUCUUUUGGUUAAUACCCAAGAUGAGUGGACGUUACUCGCAGAAUAAGCACCGGCUAACUCUGUGCCAGCCGCCGCAGUAA
RNAcentral lists this ribosomal RNA (503 nucleotides) under uncultured bacterium. RNAcentral describes it as "partial 16S ribosomal RNA". It matches the Rfam family "Bacterial small subunit ribosomal RNA", at positions 30 to 523 of the family's 1533-position model. The record is from RNAcentral.